Molecule: ribosomal RNA, 492 nt
Filed under: Triticum aestivum (bread wheat)
Lineage: Eukaryota; Viridiplantae; Streptophyta; Magnoliopsida; Poales; Poaceae
Description: partial small subunit ribosomal RNA
Source: RNAcentral
AUGCCAUCAUUCCUGGAAGGAGAGAUCGAUGCCCCAAAACCAAUGGUCAUAUAUUCAUCUUCAUCUACCCUGAUGAACCCCCAUGGCUAUUGCCCUCUUCUUCAUCCCUCGGUCAUCGCAUCAAGGAUGUUUCUCCCCCACGACACCAAUACCGAUCUUGUGCGGAGCAGAGGACUUCUUCUAUGCAGUUUUUUUUAUGAUAUCAUCUUCCAUAUGCAUGUGUGCAGAUCGUUGAAAAAGGAAAAACAUUACUCAUCAGGCUGCCCCGUAGAUGUGUUCGUUGUGUAUUUCUCCAUAGCAUUGUUCUUUGUACGUGAUGAUGUGAUGUAUGCGUGGGUGGCUUUGAUCCCUUACCUGAUGGAUGCAGGUAUGGUGUUGAUCCUUGACCUGAUGGAUGCAUGGGUCCUGACUCCUGAUCGAUGCAGUAGCUGCAAUCUCCUGUGGCUCAACUACCUCCACCUCUCCAUGCUAUGUUGCAAUGGAGCGACCUGA